Molecule: ribosomal RNA, 115 nt
Filed under: Bacillus amyloliquefaciens
Lineage: Bacteria; Bacillati; Bacillota; Bacilli; Caryophanales; Bacillaceae
Source: RNAcentral
UUUGGUGGCGAUAGCGAAGAGGUCACACCCGUUCCCAUGCCGAACACGGAAGUUAAGCUCUUCAGCGCCGAUGGUAGUCGGGGGUUUCCCCCUGUGAGAGUAGGACCUUGUAAUC